GAUGAACGCUGGCGGCGUACCUAAUACAUGCAAGUCGAGCGAACAGACGAGGAGCUUGCUCCUCUGACGUUAGCGGCGGACGGGUGAGUAACACGUGGAUAACCUACCUAUAAGACUGGGAUAACUUCGGGAAACCGGAGCUAAUACCGGAUAAUAUAUUGAACCGCAUGGUUCAAUAGUGAAAGACGGUUUUGCUGUCACUUAUAGAUGGAUCCGCGCCGCAUUAGCUAGUUGGUAAGGUAACGGCUUACCAAGGCGACGAUGCGUAGCCGACCUGAGAGGGUGAUCGGCCACACUGGAACUGAGACACGGUCCAGACUCCUACGGGAGGCAGCAGUAGGGAAUCUUCCGCAAUGGGCGAAAGCCUGACGGAGCAACGCCGCGUGAGUGAUGAAGGUCUUCGGAUCGUAAAACUCUGUUAUUAGGGAAGAACAAAUGUGUAAGUAACUAUGCACGUCUUGGCGGUACCUAAUCAGAAAGCCACGGCUAACUACGUG
Molecule: ribosomal RNA, 497 nt
Filed under: uncultured bacterium
Lineage: Bacteria
Description: partial 16S ribosomal RNA
Rfam family: Bacterial small subunit ribosomal RNA
Source: RNAcentral